RNAcentral lists this non-coding RNA (21 nucleotides) under Arabidopsis thaliana (thale cress). The record is from RNAcentral. Lineage: Eukaryota; Viridiplantae; Streptophyta; Magnoliopsida; Brassicales; Brassicaceae.
CCAUAACCCGCGAUAUGGCGA